UACGAAGGGGGCUAGCGUUGCUCGGAAUCACUGGGCGUAAAGGGUGCGUAGGCGGGUCUUUAAGUCAGUGGUGAAAGCCCGGAGCUCAACUCCGGAACUGCCAUUGAAACUGUAAAGCUCGAGGACGAGAGAGGUGAAUGGAAUUCCCAGUGUAGAGGUGAAAUUCGUAGAUAUUGGGAAGAACACCGGUGGCGAAGGCGGCUCACUGGCUC
Molecule: ribosomal RNA, 212 nt
Filed under: uncultured prokaryote
Description: partial 16S ribosomal RNA
Rfam family: Bacterial small subunit ribosomal RNA
Source: RNAcentral